AUAUGGCCGCUCAGGAGCAAGGACGCAGAGGCUGGAGAGGAAAUAGAUAAGACACUCUCGUCGAAUAAGAACUGCUUCCUCGAUUUCCUUAUUUCCAGCGGGGCUUGAACGCACUGUGGUCUCUAAAGCCCUGUGAAUGAACACUGGCCCCCAAGGCCCAGCAUCCAACCAAAGGGUUUUAAUUCACUUUCUUUUGUUUGAUAGAAAGUCAGCAAUGAAAAGGUUUCCCUGGGGAAAGAAAUGGGAGCAUUUUGGAGGGGGCAAGGGUGACACGCUUUUAACAUUGGAGUAAAUUUCUCCAUCUGCAUCUGCUACAACCUGAAAAGAUUGCUUUCUUCUGGAAGAAUUCUAUUUCAGAAAACAAAGUAGACUCACCUUCACCCUGGGUCGGACCUGCAGGAGAAGGCGAUCUCAGGGCUUCCAGACGGGAUCCCUAUUUCCAGGCCUCCCCUCUUUCCUCCCUUCCCCGCCCCCUACCAUGCGGAGGCCCUGACGGUGGGCCCUCCCGGAGCUCCAGAAGCCAAAGUCCGCCCGUGGGGACCGCUUUCCUCUCCACUGCUCUCAAGUGAACCACCGGGACAGAGGUGACCCUCGUCCAAAGGCCUUCUAACUGCCCCCGCUGCCGCGUGAUACCGCCACAGGUCGGAGGCAGAGCUUUAAAAAGAAAGAAAUAGAGUUAAUGUGCGCUGCACACUUGAUCUUAAACCGGGGAUAUUAUCUGCGAACUCCUUAAGAGGCAGCAGCCGCUCCUCGCAGAACAAAGACUCAGUGUCUGAGCCCCAAAAGCUUCCAGGUAAAGUUUCAGUAGGAUAAAAGCAAGCUAAGCGUAAAAACACAGGUUUUUUUCCUCAGGUCCAGAAAAAUCAGAAGCCGUUUUUUGCUCCAGGUUCUAGCGUGGUGUUUGUCCUUGCACACCGUGUGUGUGUGUGUGGGGGGGGGGAUAAGAAUGACAAAAGCCCUCUGCCGCUCAUUCCUUUUAGCACCAGGGUGACGUCUUUUGGAGCAAGUCGUUUCCUUGGUUAGGAAAUCAAAUUUCACAUCUUAAAGAGGAGCGCAAAAGCACGAGGGUUCUUUUAACACUCAAACUGACUUCAUUCCCUGUUGGGAUUUCAGAGGGAUGGGAGGGAGGCCCAAGUUGUAAUUCAUCUUGAUUUGCUUCGUUGUCCUGCAGUUUGCAAACUAUAAUCCUGUAUAAUUUCAGGAACAAGCAGGUUUAGAAUUAAUGGGUCAAUAUUAUUUAAAACAAAACACGGGGAGCAUGACCUUUGCCUCAACUACAUAUUGCUCUACAAGACUCAGGAAACUGCACUCUAACCUCUCACCCCCUGGGCUCUUUGAGAAACUGAAGGGCUAUAUUUAUUAGAAAUGGUCUUUGUUUCGUUUAAUGUCUCCAAAGGACUUGGGAAUAAUAAUGCAAUAGAACAUGAGGGGUCUCUCUACUUAAACUUUAAAGAUAUAUGCAAAGGUCUAAACAUUUUCAACUGGGGAUGUUUCUUUGUAAGUUUACGGUAGAUGUACUUCUCCAAGGAGGAAUGGACAUCAGCUGUGCGUGUACACACACACACUUUCCGCCAGAACCUCCACUGGAGGUGCGGUUUUCCCUCUAAUGGAGUAAACUUCAGAGUCAUUCCAAGCUGGUUGGCAUACCUCAACAUUUCUUUCACCUUGCUUCUUUCUCUCGUGUUAUUUGCUAGUAAUGAUGGAAUCCUUUGGGUUUGAGCCAAAGAAAAAAUCUGAGAAACAA
Long non-coding RNA from Jaculus jaculus (lesser Egyptian jerboa), 1744 nucleotides. RefSeq lists it as uncharacterized. Lineage: Eukaryota; Metazoa; Chordata; Mammalia; Rodentia; Dipodidae. The record is from RefSeq and is a predicted model, not a curated record. The transcript is spliced from 4 exons.